GGCCGGUUAGCUCAGUUGGUUAGAGCUUGGUGCUGAUAAUGCCAAGGUCGCGGGUUCGUUCCCCAUACCAGUUG
RNAcentral lists this transfer RNA (74 nucleotides) under Marmota monax (woodchuck). It matches the Rfam family "tRNA". Rfam says of the family: Transfer RNA (tRNA) molecules are approximately 80 nucleotides in length. The record is from Rfam by way of RNAcentral. Lineage: Eukaryota; Metazoa; Chordata; Mammalia; Rodentia; Sciuridae.